CCUACGGGCGGCAGCAGUGAGGAAUAUUGGUCAAUGGCCGGGAGGCUGAACCAGCCAAGUCGCGUGAGGGAAGACGGCCCUACGGGUUGUAAACCUCUUUUGUCAGGGAGCAAGGUGCAGGUCGGGACCUGCUGCGAGAGUACCUGAAGAAAAAGCAUCGGCCAACUCCGUGCCAGCAGCCGCGGUAAUACGGGGGAUGCGAGCGUUAUCCGGAUUUAUUGGGUUUAUAGGGUGCGUAGGCGGAGGCACAAGUCAGCGGUAAAAUCGGGGGGCUCAACCCCGCUCCGCCGUUAAAACUGUGUGCCGUGAGUGCACGAAGGGUAAGCGGAAUGCGUGGUGUAGCGGUGGAAUGCAUAGAUAUCACGCAGAACUCCAAUCGCGAAGGCAGCCUACCGGCGCGCAACUGACGCUCAUGCACGAAAGCGUGGGUAUCGAACAGGAUUAGAUACCCCUGUAGUC
This 459-nucleotide ribosomal RNA is filed under the name uncultured bacterium. RNAcentral describes it as "partial 16S ribosomal RNA". It matches the Rfam family "Bacterial small subunit ribosomal RNA", at positions 338 to 795 of the family's 1533-position model. The record is from RNAcentral.